This 497-nucleotide ribosomal RNA is filed under the name uncultured bacterium. RNAcentral describes it as "partial 16S ribosomal RNA". It matches the Rfam family "Bacterial small subunit ribosomal RNA", at positions 28 to 507 of the family's 1533-position model. The record is from RNAcentral.
GAUGAACGCUGGCGGCGUGCCUAAUACAUGCAAGUCGAGCGAACAGACGAGGAGCUUGCUCCUCUGACGUUAGCGGCGGACGGGUGAGUAACACGUGGAUAACCUACCUAUAAGACUGGGAUAACUUCGGGAAACCGGAGCUAAUACCGGAUAAUAUAUUGAACCGCAUGGUUCAAUAGUGAAAGACGGUUUUGCUGUCACUUAUAGAUGGAUCCGCGCCGCAUUAGCUAGUUGGUAAGGUAACGGCUUACCAAGGCAACGAUGCGUAGCCGACCUGAGAGGGUGGUCGGCCACACGGGACGUGAGACACGGUCCAGACUCCUACGGGAGGCAGCAGUAGGGAAUCUUCCGCAAUGGGCGAAAGCCUGACGGAGCAACGCCGCGUGAGUGAUGAAGGUCUUCGGAUCGUAAAGCUCUGUUAUUAGGGAAGAACAAAUGUGUAAGUAACUAUGCACGUCUUGACGGUACCUAAUCAGAAAGCCACGGCUAACUACGUG